Molecule: unclassified non-coding RNA, 315 nt
Filed under: plant metagenome
Description: partial contains 5.8S ribosomal RNA, internal transcribed spacer 2, and large subunit ribosomal RNA
Rfam family: 5.8S ribosomal RNA (bases 1-105)
Source: RNAcentral
GAACUGCGAUAAGUAAUGUGAAUUGCAGAAUUCAGUGAAUCAUCGAGUCUUUGAACGCACAUUGCGCCCCCUGGCAUUCCGGGGGGCAUGCCUGUCCGAGCGUCAUUGCUGCCCUUCAAGCCCGGCUUGUGUGUUGGGUCGUCGUCCCCUCCGGGGGACGGGCCCGAAAGGCAGCGGCGGCACCGCGUCCGGUCCUCGAGCGUAUGGGGCUUUGUCACCCGCUCGAUAAGGACCGGCCGGGCGCCAGCGGGCGUCUCCAACCUUUUUUUCUCAGGUUGACCUCGGAUCAGGUAGGGAUACCCGCUGAACUUAAGC